RNAcentral lists this ribosomal RNA (759 nucleotides) under uncultured bacterium. RNAcentral's name for it is "bacterial SSU rRNA". It matches the Rfam family "Bacterial small subunit ribosomal RNA", at positions 59 to 831 of the family's 1533-position model. The record is from RNAcentral.
CAGUCGAACGAGCGAGAGAGAGCUUGCUUUCUCGAGCGAGUGGCGAACGGGUGAGUAACGCGUGAGGAACCUGCCUCAAAGAGGGGGACAACAGUUGGAAACGACUGCUAAUACCGCAUAAGCCCACGGGUCGGCAUCGACCAGAGGGAAAAGGAGCAAUCCGCUUUGAGAUGGCCUCGCGUCCGAUUAGCUAGUUGGUGAGGUAAUGGCCCACCAAGGCGACGAUCGGUAGCCGGACUGAGAGGUUGAACGGCCACAUUGGGACUGAGACACGGCCCAGACUCCUACGGGAGGCAGCAGUGGGGAAUAUUGCACAAUGGGGGAAACCCUGAUGCAGCGACGCCGCGUGGAGGAAGAAGGUCUUCGGAUUGUAAACUCCUGUUGUUGGGGAAGAUAAUGACGGUACCCAACAAGGAAGUGACGGCUAACUACGUGCCAGCAGCCGCGGUAAAACGUAGGUCACAAGCGUUGUCCGGAAUUACUGGGUGUAAAGGGAGCGCAGGCGGGAAGACAAGUUGGAAGUGAAAUCUAUGGGCUCAACCCAUAAACUGCUUUCAAAACUGUUUUUCUUGAGUAGUGCAGAGGUAGGCGGAAUUCCCGGUGUAGCGGUGGAAUGCGUAGAUAUCGGGAGGAACACCAGUGGCGAAGGCGGCCUACUGGGCACCAACUGACGCUGAGGCUCGAAAGUGUGGGUAGCAAACAGGAUUAGAUACCCUGGUAGUCCACACCGUAAACGAUGAUUACUAGGUGUUGGAGGAU